This 250-nucleotide ribosomal RNA is filed under the name uncultured prokaryote. Its description in RNAcentral is "partial 16S ribosomal RNA". It matches the Rfam family "Bacterial small subunit ribosomal RNA", at positions 524 to 773 of the family's 1533-position model. The record is from RNAcentral.
UACGUAGGGGGCAAGCGUUAUCCGGAUUUACUGGGUGUAAAGGGAGCGCAGACGGCAUGCCAAGUCAGAAGUGAAAGCCCCGGGCUUAACCCGGGGACUGCUUUUGAAACUGGGGUGCUAGAGUACUGGAGGGGCAGGCGGAAUUCCUGGUGUAGCGGUGAAAUGCGUAGAUAUCAGGAGGAACACCGGUGGCGAAGGCGGCCUGCUGGACAGAGACUGACGUUGAGGCUCGAAAGCGUGGGGAGCAAAC